CUCAGAUUGAACGCUGGCGGCAGGCUUAACACAUGCAAGUCGAGCGGUAGCACAGGGGAGCUUGCUCCCUGGGUGACGAGCGGCGGACGGGUGAGUAAUGUCUGGGAAACUGCCUGAUGGAGGGGGAUAACUACUGGAAACGGUAGCUAAUACCGCAUAACGUCGCAAGACCAAAGAGGGGGACCUUCGGGCCUCUUGCCAUCAGAUGUGCCCAGAUGGGAUUAGCUAGUAGGUGGGGUAAUGGCUCACCUAGGCGACGAUCCCUAGCUGGUCUGAGAGGAUGACCAGCCACACUGGAACUGAGACACGGUCCAGACUCCUACGGGAGGCAGCAGUGGGGAAUAUUGCACAAUGGGCGCAAGCCUGAUGCAGCCAUGCCGCGUGUGUGAAGAAGGCCUUCGGGUUGUAAAGCACUUUCAGCGAGGAGGAAGGUGGUGAACUUAAUACGUUCAUCAAUUGACGUUACUCGCAGAAGAAGCACCGGCUAACUCCGUGCCAGCAGCCGCGGUAAUACGGAGGGUGCAAGCGUUAAUCGGAAUUACUGGGCGUAAAGCGCACGCAGGCGGUUUGUUAAGUCAGAUGUGAAAUCCCCGGGCUCAACCUGGGAACUGCAUUUGAAACUGGCAAGCUAGAGUCUCGUAGAGGGGGGUAGAAUUCCAGGUGUAGCGGUGAAAUGCGUAGAGAUCUGGAGGAAUACCGGUGGCGAAGGCGGCCCCCUGGA
RNAcentral lists this ribosomal RNA (721 nucleotides) under bacterium BM0455. Its description in RNAcentral is "bacterial SSU rRNA". It matches the Rfam family "Bacterial small subunit ribosomal RNA", at positions 23 to 733 of the family's 1533-position model. The record is from RNAcentral.